UACGGGGGGAGCAAGCGUUGUUCGGAUUUACUGGGCGUAAAGGGCGCGUAGGCGGCCUCCGCAAGUCAGUUGUGAAAUCUCCGAGCUUAACUCGGAAAGGUCAACUGAUACUGCGGGGCUAGAGUGCGGAAGGGGCAACUGGAAUUCUUGGUGUAGCGGUGAAAUGCGUAGAUAUCAAGAGGAACGCCUGCGGCGAAGGCGGGUUGCUGGGCCGACACUGACGCUGAGGCGCGAAAGCUAGGGGAGCGAACGGG
Molecule: ribosomal RNA, 254 nt
Filed under: uncultured bacterium
Lineage: Bacteria
Description: partial 16S ribosomal RNA
Rfam family: Bacterial small subunit ribosomal RNA
Source: RNAcentral